RNAcentral lists this ribosomal RNA (662 nucleotides) under Pantoea sp. RNAcentral describes it as "bacterial SSU rRNA". It matches the Rfam family "Bacterial small subunit ribosomal RNA", at positions 767 to 1443 of the family's 1533-position model. Lineage: Bacteria; Pseudomonadati; Pseudomonadota; Gammaproteobacteria; Enterobacterales; Erwiniaceae. The record is from RNAcentral.
AGCAAACAGGAUUAGAUACCCUGGUAGUCCACGCCGUAAACGAUGUCGACUUGGAGGUUGUUCCCUUGAGGAGUGGCUUCCGGAGCUAACGCGUUAAGUCGACCGCCUGGGGAGUACGGCCGCAAGGUUAAAACUCAAAUGAAUUGACGGGGGCCCGCACAAGCGGUGGAGCAUGUGGUUUAAUUCGAUGCAACGCGAAGAACCUUACCUACUCUUGACAUCCACGGAAUUUGGCAGAGAUGCCUUAGUGCCUUCGGGAACCGUGAGACAGGUGCUGCAUGGCUGUCGUCAGCUCGUGUUGUGAAAUGUUGGGUUAAGUCCCGCAACGAGCGCAACCCUUAUCCUUUGUUGCCAGCGAUUCGGUCGGGAACUCAAAGGAGACUGCCGGUGAUAAACCGGAGGAAGGUGGGGAUGACGUCAAGUCAUCAUGGCCCUUACGAGUAGGGCUACACACGUGCUACAAUGGCGCAUACAAAGAGAAGCGACCUCGCGAGAGCAAGCGGACCUCACAAAGUGCGUCGUAGUCCGGAUCGGAGUCUGCAACUCGACUCCGUGAAGUCGGAAUCGCUAGUAAUCGUGGAUCAGAAUGCCACGGUGACUACGUUCCCCAACGUAGUACACUCCUCCCAUCGCAACCAUAGUCAGUAGGCAAGCUAACCAAG